RNAcentral lists this ribosomal RNA (1297 nucleotides) under Escherichia coli. RNAcentral describes it as "partial 23S ribosomal RNA". It matches the Rfam family "Bacterial large subunit ribosomal RNA", at positions 614 to 1897 of the family's 2925-position model. The record is from RNAcentral. Lineage: Bacteria; Pseudomonadati; Pseudomonadota; Gammaproteobacteria; Enterobacterales; Enterobacteriaceae.
AAUGGGUCAGCGACUUAUAUUCUGUAGCAAGGUUAACCGAAUAGGGGAGCCGAAGGGAAACCGAGUCUUAACUGGGCGUUAAGUUGCAGGGUAUAGACCCGAAACCCGGUGAUCUAGCCAUGGGCAGGUUGAAGGUUGGGUAACACUAACUGGAGGACCGAACCGACUAAUGUUGAAAAAUUAGCGGAUGACUUGUGGCUGGGGGUGAAAGGCCAAUCAAACCGGGAGAUAGCUGGUUCUCCCCGAAAGCUAUUUAGGUAGCGCCUCGUGAAUUCAUCUCCGGGGGUAGAGCACUGUUUCGGCAAGGGGGUCAUCCCGACUUACCAACCCGAUGCAAACUGCGAAUACCGGAGAAUGUUAUCACGGGAGACACACGGCGGGUGCUAACGUCCGUCGUGAAGAGGGAAACAACCCAGACCGCCAGCUAAGGUCCCAAAGUCAUGGUUAAGUGGGAAACGAUGUGGGAAGGCCCAGACAGCCAGGAUGUUGGCUUAGAAGCAGCCAUCAUUUAAAGAAAGCGUAAUAGCUCACUGGUCGAGUCGGCCUGCGCGGAAGAUGUAACGGGGCUAAACCAUGCACCGAAGCUGCGGCAGCGACACUAAGUGUUGUUGGGUAGGGGAGCGUUCUGUAAGCCUGUGAAGGUGUACUGUGAGGUAUGCUGGAGGUAUCAGAAGUGCGAAUGCUGACAUAAGUAACGAUAAAGCGGGUGAAAAGCCCGCUCGCCGGAAGACCAAGGGUUCCUGUCCAACGUUAAUCGGGGCAGGGUGAGUCGACCCCUAAGGCGAGGCCGAAAGGCGUAGUCGAUGGGAAACAGGUUAAUAUUCCUGUACUUGGUGUUACUGCGAAGGGGGGACGGAGAAGGCUAUGUUGGCCGGGCGACGGUUGUCCCGGUUUAAGCGUGUAGGCUGGUUUUCCAGGCAAAUCCGGAAAAUCAAGGCUGAGGCGUGAUGACGAGGCACUACGGUGCUGAAGCAACAAAUGCCCUGCUUCCAGGAAAAGCCUCUAAGCAUCAGGUAACAUCAAAUCGUACCCCAAACCGACACAGGUGGUCAGGUAGAGAAUACCAAGGCGCUUGAGAGAACUCGGGUGAAGGAACUAGGCAAAAUGGUGCCGUAACUUCGGGAGAAGGCACGCUGAUAUGUAGGUGAAGCGACUUGCUCGUGGAGCUGAAAUCAGUCGAAGAUACCAGCUGGCUGCAACUGUUUAUUAAAAACACAGCACUGUGCAAACACGAAAGUGGACGUAUACGGUGUGACGCCUGCCCGGUGCCGGAAGGUUAAUUGAUGGGGUUAGCGCA